Molecule: ribosomal RNA, 253 nt
Filed under: uncultured bacterium
Lineage: Bacteria
Description: partial 16S ribosomal RNA
Rfam family: Bacterial small subunit ribosomal RNA
Source: RNAcentral
UACGGAGGGUGCAAGCGUUAUCCGGAUUCACUGGGUUUAAAGGGUGCGUAGGUGGGCUGGUAAGUCAGUGGUGAAAUCUCCAGGCUUAACUUGGAAACUGCCAUUGAUACUAUCAGUCUUGAAUACCGUGGAGGUCAGCGGAAUAUGUCAUGUAGCGGUGAAAUGCUUAGAUAUGACAUAGAACACCAAUUGCGAAGGCAGCUGGCUAGACGAAUAUUGACACUGAUGCACGAAAGCGUGGGGAGCAAACAGG